RNAcentral lists this ribosomal RNA (754 nucleotides) under uncultured bacterium. RNAcentral's name for it is "bacterial SSU rRNA". It matches the Rfam family "Bacterial small subunit ribosomal RNA", at positions 649 to 1399 of the family's 1533-position model. The record is from RNAcentral.
GAGGAGGGAAAGGGGAAUUCCUUAGGGUAGCGGGGAAAAUGCGUAGAUAUUAGGAGGAAAUAUCAGUGGCGAAAGGGCGACUUUCUGGACUUAUACUGACGCUGAGGUACGAAAGCGUGGGUAGCGAACAGGAUUAGAUACCCUGGUAGUCCACGCCGUAAACGAUGAGUGCUAAGUGUUAGGGGGUUUCCGCCCCCCAGUGCUGGAGUUAACGCAUUAAGCACUCCGCCUGGGGAGUACGGCCGCAAGGCUGAAACUCAAAGGAAUUGACGGGGACCCGUACAAGCGGUGGAGCAUGUGGUUUAAUUCGAAGCAACGCGAAGAACCUUACCAGCUCUUGACAUCUUCUGUUCACCCUAGAGAUAGGGCUUCCCCUUCGGGGGCAGAAUGACAGGUGGUGCAUGGUUGUCGUCAGCUCGUGUCGUGAGAUGUUGGGUUAAGUCCCAUAACGAGCGCAACCCUUAUUGUUAGUUGCCAGCAUUUAGUUGGGCACUCUAGCGAGACUGCCGGUGAUAAACCGGAGGAAGGUGGGGAUGACGUCAAAUCAUCAUGCCCCUUAUGAGCUGGGCUACACACGUGCUACAAUGGACGGUACAACGGGUAGCGAGGGCGCGAGCCUUAGCAAAUCCUAAUAAGCCGUUCUCAGUUCGGAUUGUUCUCUGCAACUCGAGAGCAUGAAGCCGGAAUCGCUAGUAAUCGCGGAUCAGAAUGCCGCGGUGAAUACGUUCCCGGGUCUUGCACUCACCGCCCGUCA